UACGUAGGCAGCAAGCGUUGUUCGGAGUUACUGGGCGUAAAGGGUGUGUAGGCGGUUCUUUAAGUUUGGUGUGAAAUCUCCCGGCUCAACCGGGAGGGUGCGCCGAAUACUGAGGAGCUAGAGUGCGGGAGAGGAAAGUGGAAUUCCUGGUGUAGCGGUGAAAUGCGUAGAUAUCCGGAAGAACACCGGUGGCGAAGGCGGCCCGCUGGGCAACUGCUGACACUGAGGCGCGACAGCGUGGGGAGCAAACAGG
RNAcentral lists this ribosomal RNA (253 nucleotides) under uncultured bacterium. RNAcentral describes it as "partial 16S ribosomal RNA". It matches the Rfam family "Bacterial small subunit ribosomal RNA", at positions 524 to 776 of the family's 1533-position model. The record is from RNAcentral.